UUGCUGCUCGUGAAAUUUGUGGGCGAUACAUACACUCGAAUUAUUACAUAGUUACUAUCGUCUCCAAAAGUCAAUAGUGAUGCACGUAGAUUUUCUUUUCAUUUCUGAUGCGAGAAAAAUAUGCUUCAUUACAAAGAGUUGAGUUUGAUAUGAGGUGUUCUAUUUUUGGUUUCGGUUGGAGAAAAAUCAACGAGGUCUCGACAAUAUAUGAGGAUUUUUUCUUUUUGGGUUUCUGCUGGAGAAAAAAAAAGAGGUUCAACCAAUAUAUGAGAUUUUGUAUAAAAACAAAAAAAAAAGAAAAAGAAAAAGAAAGAUUGGGACUUGGUGAACUGUGCAAGACAAUAACGAGUAGUGACUUGCAUGAUAUUCAUUUCGGGUAUGGUGGUAGAUUUGUGGAUGGUAAUAAAUCUAAAUAUGAAGGGACAUAAAAAAAGGCAUUUGAAGGGAUAGAUAUUGAUAUUCUAGGAAUGCAUGAAUUAGGAGUUAUGUAUGACAAAUAUGGUGGGAGGAAAGGCACAAUGAACUUUUAUUAUAAAGUUCCAGGCUUAUCAUUAGAACUUGGUCUAAGAAGUAUUAACAAUGAAUGCCCUGACAUUUACGUAUGUGAUUUGGAGAAUCAAUAUAGAGGGAUAGACUUGCCUAUUGAAAUAUAUAUAGAAGAAAGUGAUUGUGAGCCCGUUCAGACACUAGAUAAAGAUGGUAAUGUUGUUUACAAUGAAACUGAGGAAGAAAUUAGGUACUCGCUAGAUGGGUUAAUUUCGAAGAUGAUUUAGAUGAUAGUGUUCCUGUGGGGGAUGGUCGAGGGCUGGAUUCUGUGUGUGAGGGUGUUGGGUAAAGGCUAAAUUGUGAGGGGCAAGGACAGGGUAGGAUGGGAUAGGAUCUGUGUGUGAGGGUGUUGGGGAAAGGUUGAAUAGUGAGGGGUAGGGGGAACAAGGACAUGGUGGUAAUGGUGAGGGUGGUGAAUAAGAGUUUCAGACUGAAAAUUUGAGGCCUGAAAAAGGCACACAAAAAAAAAAGAUAAAUAAACUAUGCUGAAAAUUAAUCCUCAUCAGAAUUUGAUGAUUCUUCUGAUGAGGAUUAUCAUCAGCCUGAUCAAGCCUCAAGUGAUAGUGAAACCCCAAGUCUUGUUUUAGAAGACCUUGAAGUGUCAAGUAAUGAUAACAUAUUCUUGAGUAAGAACCCAACUAAAAAAGAUUUAAUCCACAAACUGAGAAAGGUUAUGAAGACGAAAAUAAAAAAACCAGAAUUUCAGACUGAAAAUGCUGAAGAAAAUGAAAACUAGUUUAGUGAUGAUGCUAAAAGUGAUGAACUUGAAAGCUUGCCUAAUUCUGAUAAUGAAAAUUCACAACCAAACAUGAAUUUUUUAAAGAAACCACAAACAUAAAGACAUGUGAAUUGGUUGUUGGGAUGAAAUUUCAUAAUGCAAAAUGUUUUAAAGGGGUUUUGAGAGACUGGUGCGUCAGAAAAAGCUUUGAUGUUGAAUACAUAAAAAAUGAGAAAUCAAUGGUGAGUGCAAGAUGUAAAUUUGAUGGUUGUAAUUGGAGAAUUCAUGCAUCCCCAGUAAUGAAAGAUGAAUUUCGAAUCAAAAGCAUACAAGGGGCUCACACAUGUGCUAAAACAUAUGAUAACAAGCUUGCAAAAGCUUCAUGUUUUGCCAAAAGGAUGGAAUCUGCAAUUAGAGACCAUUCAAAUAUUCCAAUUAAACAGUUGAAAAGAUCAAUUUUGAGAAAAUACAAAGUUGAAGUGAGUCAACAAAAAGUUCAAAGGGCAAGCAUGGAGGCAUUUGAAAAAAUUAGAAGAAAAGAUUCUAUUCAAUAUGAAAAACUGUAGGAUUAUUGUGAGACAGUGAUGCAUUUUAACCCUGACAACAAGAUGAUUAUUAGAAAAGUUGAGGUUUCAGAUUCACCAAUCUUUGAUAAAAUGUAUUUAAGCUUUUCAGCACUUAAAAAUAAUUUUUUAAAUGGUUGCAGACGAAUCAUUGGUCUAGAUGGUUGUUUUCUGACAACUUGUCAUAGUGGACAGUUGCUUGUGGCUGUAGGGAGUGAUGAGAAUGACAAUAUGUUUCCUAUUGCCAUGGUUGUAGUUCAGAUAGAAAACAGGGAAAAUUGGACUUGAUUUUUGGGGGAAUUGGUUGUUGGAUGAAAUUUCAUAAUGCAAAAUGUUUUAAGGAGGUUUUGAGAGACUGGUGCGUCAAAAAAGGAUUUGAUAUUGAAUAUAUAAAAAAUGAGAAAUCAAGGGUGACUGCAAAAUGCAAAUUUGAGGGUUGUAAUUAGAGAAUUCAUGCCUCCCCGUAAUGAAAGAUGAAUUUCAAUUCAAAAGCAUACAAGGGGCUACACGUGUUAGAAUAUAUAAUAACAAGCUUGCAAAAGGUUCAUAUCUUGCCAAAAGGAUAAAAUCUGCAAUUAGAGACCAUUCAGAUAUUCCAAUUAAACAGCUGAAAAGAUCAAUUUUGAGAAAAUGCAAGGUUGAAGUGAGUCAACAAAAAGUUCAAAGGGCAAGAAGGGAAGCGCUUGAAAAAAUUAGAAGAAAAGAUUCUAUUCAAUAUGAAAAACUGUGUUUGUGAGACAGUGAUGCAUUUUACCCCUGGCAACGAGAUGAUUAUUAGAAACGUUGAGGGUUCAGAUUCACCAAUCCUUGAUAAAAUGUAUGUAAGUUUUUCAGCACUUCAAAAUAAUUUUUUUAAUGGUUGCAGACCAAUCAUUGGUCUAGAUGGUUGUUUUCUGAAAAACUGUUAUAGUGGACAGUUGCUUGUGGCUGUAUGAGAAUGACAAUAUAUUUCCUAUUGCCAAGACUAUAGUUCAGAUAGAAAAUAGGAAAAAUUGAACUUGGUUUUUGGGGAAAUUGCUAGAUGAUAUAGGUGGGUGGGUAGGCAAAAAGGACUCAUUGAGGCCUUAAAAGAUCUUGUGCCCAAUUCUAAAUAUAGAUUUUGCGUUAUGCACAUGCAUGAAAACUUCAAAAUAAAACUUAAAUCCCAAGAACUGAAACAAUUCUUCUAGAAAGCUGCAUCAACAGCAAACAAAAGGGAUUUUGAAGAAUUCAUACAAAAAAUUGAAGAUUUUAGCCCCAAAAAAAAACUUGAAGUUGAGACAGCCUUUGAAUGGCUGAGAAAAAUCAAUCCAGAACAUUGGAUUAGGGUUUUUUUCCCUUUGCAUAGUAAAUGUGAUAUAUUGGUGAACAAUCUUUGUGAAAACUUUAAUAAUUACAUACUUGAUGCUAGAGAUAAGCCAAUAAACACAUUGUUUGAAUGGAUUAUAUGUAAAUUGAUGUCAAGAUUGCAGCAAAAAAGGGAUGGGAUGGAGAAGUUGAGGGAGACAUUUGCCCCAAAUGUUCUAAAAGCAAUCAAGAAGCAACAGUUAAUGGCUAGGAAUUGUUUUACGUUAUGGUGUAGGAUGGUUGAGUAUGAAGUAGAUCAUUUCCUAGAUAAGUAUGUGGUAGAUGUUUUAAAAAGAACAUGUAUGUGUGGCAUGUUUUAGUUGAAUGCAUACCCCUGCUGCCAUGCAUGUGCAAUAAUAUCUACCAAAAGGGUUCUAAUUGAUGAGUAUGAUGAUGUUUGUUACAAAAAAUCAACAUACUUAAAGGUUUAUGGGGAGAUGAUUCAUAUUGUUCUCGGGGUAAAAAGAUUAUAUUCAAACUACUUAUGAAUCUCUAAAACCACCAAAAGUUAAAACGAAAAAGGGUAGACCAAAAAGACUUAGGAGGAGGGGUCCGGAUGAAGUGCAAUCCACUUCUACAAGAAAAUGUCUAGCAUAUACUUGCACGAACUGCUUGGAGAGGGGGCACAACAAGGAAACUUGCAAGAAUCCACCACAUCCAAAGUCAAAAUUUUACAAGGGUAUAAGUCAUGAGGAAAUACCUAUUGAAGGCUCCCAAAUUCCCCCGCAAGCCAGGAGCAUAAAUUGCAGUCUAAGGCUACAAGAGCAACCAAGAAGCAAAAAACAAGAGCAGGUGCAAAGAUACUGUAAACAAGCAUUCCUCCAUCUACUGUAAGCAUUAUUGAUCAUCUGCAGCUACACCCAACAAACACUCCUCCAUCUACUAUAAGCAUUAAUGAACAAGCAACUGUUGAGUUAUCUGCAACAUCCCCCACAAGCACUCAUCCAUCUACCCAAAGAAUUGGCUAUUCAGGACGUAGAAAUGCUGCUGUGAUAGGAGACACUGUUGGAACAAGCUUAAGAGGAUCUAUAAAUACAAAUAAAAAUAAAAGGCUAUCAAUUUUCGAAAUUCUGAAAAGAAUUAAGGAGAGGUCCAAGAAAAGGCCAUAGAAGCUAUGAAUAACGGAGUUGUAAUUUUGUCUUAACCAUUUUAAUGGGGUUGGAUAUACAUUUUGGCUACUUUAAAUGGAGCUAUUUGUUUAAAUUAUUCAGUAUUUUUGGCAGAGAAUGUUUGGCAGUACUUUUCGAGCUAGUAAUGUUUUGUAAUGCGGUUGGAUGUACUUCUAGCUUAGGCUUAUAUUUGAGAAAUUUGGCAGUGUAAAUUGACUUACAUUCUGGCAGUGUGUAAAUUGACUUA
Sesamum indicum (sesame) is the source of this 4509-nucleotide non-coding RNA. The record is from RefSeq and is a predicted model, not a curated record. NCBI's taxonomy places the organism in Eukaryota, Viridiplantae, Streptophyta, Magnoliopsida, Lamiales, Pedaliaceae.